This 253-nucleotide ribosomal RNA is filed under the name uncultured bacterium. RNAcentral describes it as "partial 16S ribosomal RNA". It matches the Rfam family "Bacterial small subunit ribosomal RNA", at positions 524 to 776 of the family's 1533-position model. The record is from RNAcentral.
GACGAGGGGUCCUAGCGUUGUUCGGAAUCAUUGGGCGUAAAGCGUGUGUAGGCGGCCUUGCAAGUCAGUUGUGAAAGCCCCGGGCUCAACCCGGGAAGUGCUUCUGAUACUGCAGGGCUUGAGUACUGGAGAGGAUAGUGGAAUUCCAGGUGUAGUGGUGAAAUACGUAGAUAUCUGGAGGAACACCGGUGGCGAAGGCGGCUAUCUGGCCAUGUACUGACGCUGAGACACGAAAGCAUGGGGAGCAAACAGG